UCAGGAUCUGAAACAAAUCACUUGGACGUGAUCUAAUAGAGGAGCGAUAACUAGCUUUACGACAGCCAAUAUUUAAUAGCGACGUUGCUUUUUGAUCCUUCGAUGUUGGCUCUUCUCAUCAUACUGAACCAGACUUCGGUAAUCGUUCAAUUGCUCACCCACUAAUAGGGAACAGGACCUGGGGUUUCGACAAAUGUGAGGUCAGUUUUACCGACUAAUGAAAUGUUGUUGCAAGAGGGAUUGAACUAAGUGCAGGAAGAACCGUUCAUUCGGAUAAUCGGUAUUUUGGGCAUGCCUGAGCAGGCAAUGGUCUGAAGCUAUCGUACAUUAGGUAACGACGGAAAGCCUCCAAGUCAGAACGCGCACUAAAACGCGAUAAUUAUCGUUUUUUUCAGAAUUUUUGUCAAAUACGAAUAGAUCUUUGGAUCCUGUAUCUUACUAUGUGGGGUUAUGUUCAAAGAAACGCUUUGAGAAGUUCCUGCAAAUGUUAAUUUCAAAUAUUGGAAAAGAUGCAUCCAAUUUCAAAUAUUGCAAGCAGUAACGUAGCCUUGCCAUUACGAUCUGAUGAAAUAGAGUCCAUUGUUCC
Molecule: non-coding RNA, 586 nt
Filed under: Linnemannia elongata AG-77
Lineage: Eukaryota; Fungi; Mortierellomycota; Mortierellomycetes; Mortierellales; Mortierellaceae
Description: Mortierella elongata AG-77 Eukaryotic large subunit ribosomal RNA
Rfam family: Eukaryotic large subunit ribosomal RNA
Source: Rfam by way of RNAcentral